GUUCCGGUAGCUCAGGUGGAUAGAGCGACAGCCUCCGAAGCUGUAGGUCGAUGGUUCGAGUCCAUUCCGGAACGCCA
Molecule: transfer RNA, 77 nt
Filed under: Acholeplasmatales bacterium
Lineage: Bacteria; Bacillati; Mycoplasmatota; Mollicutes; Acholeplasmatales
Description: tRNA-Arg
Rfam family: tRNA
About the family: Transfer RNA (tRNA) molecules are approximately 80 nucleotides in length. Their secondary structure includes four short double-helical elements and three loops (D, anti-codon, and T loops). Further hydrogen bonds mediate the characteristic L-shaped molecular structure. tRNAs have two regions of fundamental functional importance: the anti-codon, which is responsible for specific mRNA codon recognition, and the 3' end, to which the tRNAs corresponding amino acid is attached (by aminoacyl-tRNA synthetases). tRNAs cope with the degeneracy of the genetic code in two manners: having more than one tRNA (with a specific anti-codon) for a particular amino acid; and 'wobble' base-pairing, i.e. permitting non-standard base-pairing at the 3rd anti-codon position.
Source: RNAcentral